UAGUGGUAGUAUAUAUAUAAUAAAAAUGGUAAGACAACAAAAGAAUGAAAGAGCCCUUGAUAUUGUGUAAAUAGAGGAACUUAUCUGUAAACAUGAUAUGUGAUAAUUAUUCGGUAACCAUGAUAAAACACAGAGUUUCAGAUGUUGAUGGUUGGAUAACUGAA
Long non-coding RNA from Octopus sinensis (East Asian common octopus), 164 nucleotides. RefSeq lists it as uncharacterized. Lineage: Eukaryota; Metazoa; Mollusca; Cephalopoda; Octopoda; Octopodidae. The transcript has 4 exons. The record is from RefSeq and is a predicted model, not a curated record.